GCCUUCUUAGCUCAGUUGGUAGAGCGUUGGUCUCAUAGUACAUAUGACCCAGAAUAAUUCUGGGAUAUCCAAAGGUCGACAGUUCGAGCCUGCCAGAGGGCA
RNAcentral lists this transfer RNA (102 nucleotides) under Cephalotrichum gorgonifer. Its description in RNAcentral is "transfer RNA-Met(CAT)". It matches the Rfam family "tRNA". From Rfam's summary of the family: Transfer RNA (tRNA) molecules are approximately 80 nucleotides in length. The record is from RNAcentral. Lineage: Eukaryota; Fungi; Ascomycota; Sordariomycetes; Microascales; Microascaceae.